GAGAUCCAUGUCAAUGGUUCCUGUAGCAUGGUCAGUUGCAGACUGCUGCAAUGCAACUUCUAGAAGUCGAAAAGCCUCCACUACAUCUCUUUUCUCCACCUUUUCUGAAAAACGCAUCCGAGCAAGACCUUCACCUAGACGUAUCAAACUCUCUAGCUGCCUUGGUGUAGCUGUAAUCACCUUUUUACUGCUACCGGGGAAAUUCCCUUUUCUUCUCAUCUCCACAUAACCUCUAGUCAAUUCUUCAGCUGCUUCAUCAGAUAAUUGUG
This 269-nucleotide unclassified non-coding RNA is filed under the name Hevea brasiliensis (rubber tree). Lineage: Eukaryota; Viridiplantae; Streptophyta; Magnoliopsida; Malpighiales; Euphorbiaceae. The record is from RNAcentral.